UAAUGACCUUAAGAUAAGUCCACUCAUCAAAAGAGUCUUGUCCAUGUCUACUGGACACUUCAGUGGAUGUCUAAGAUAAUCAUAUCUUGUCUGGAUGGAAAAUAAUUGAAAUUCUAUUAAUAACCUACAAAUAGACAAAAUUGAAGAAUGUAAUGCAUGGAAUAUAAAUAAAGCAUCCCCAAGAAAGUGCCCAGGAGUUAUAUUUGAUUAUGACUACCAUCAUUCCCAAAAGAACGAUGCCUGGAGGAUUCUGAGAACUGCUGUUCAACACACAAUAGAAAUAUGAAUGAUAUUAAAGAACACAAAGCAAAUUGUCCCUUGGGAAGAAAAUCAAUACUUGGGAAAACAAAUUUGAGCUGACAAAUGACAAGAAGACUUACCUUUUUUGAAACGUUGAAAAAGUUGGGAUUUUUUUCCAAUAUCAACAUCCUGUUUAGCCAUUAAUAAGCCACCAAUCUUGCUAAUAUGACCAACAACGAUCACAAUGUAAUAGUGGUGGGGAAGCCAUUUUCUCCUUGGCACCCCAGGCUUGGCAGUCCAAGUCUGCCCUAACAUUACAUAUCUCAGCACAACAAUUCAGUCGGAUUGUCUCAGUGGCUGCAUUUACUGCAUUGAAGCUGAAUACAAUA
Long non-coding RNA from Python bivittatus (Burmese python), 629 nucleotides. RefSeq lists it as uncharacterized. The record is from RefSeq and is a predicted model, not a curated record. NCBI's taxonomy places the organism in Eukaryota, Metazoa, Chordata, Lepidosauria, Squamata, Pythonidae.